GCUUUGGUCUCGCGCAAUGGGGCCCCAUGAAUCCCGUCAGGUCCGGAAGGAAGCAGCGGUAAGUGGUCAGUCACAUGUGCCGCGAGGGUGCCUGAGGGCU
This is a non-coding RNA of Schwartzia succinivorans DSM 10502, 100 nucleotides long. The record is from Rfam. Lineage: Bacteria; Bacillati; Bacillota; Negativicutes; Selenomonadales; Selenomonadaceae.